GCGCGGUUAGUUCAGUGGUUAGAAUUCUUGCUUCCCAUACAAUUCGCUCUGUAUAACAAGCAAGGGACCCGAGUUCGAAUCUCGGAUCGCGCA
Molecule: non-coding RNA, 93 nt
Organism: Rhypophila decipiens
Lineage: Eukaryota; Fungi; Ascomycota; Sordariomycetes; Sordariales; Naviculisporaceae
Source: the annotation of a GenBank genome assembly